RNAcentral lists this transfer RNA (66 nucleotides) under Tetraloides heterodactylus. RNAcentral's name for it is "tRNA-Arg". Lineage: Eukaryota; Metazoa; Arthropoda; Malacostraca; Decapoda; Tetraliidae. The record is from RNAcentral.
AGUUAGAAAGCGAAUUUAUCGCAUUUAGUUUCGACCUAAAUUUUUGGUUAUUUCAACCUCUAACUU